UACGGGGGGGGUAAGCGUUGUUCGGAAUUACUGGGCGUAAAGGGCUCGUAGGCGGCCAACUAAGUCAUACGUGAAAUCCCUCAGCUUAACUGGGGAACUGCGUGUGAUACUGGAUGGCUUGAGAUUGGGAGAGGGAUGCGGAAUUCCAGGUGUAGCGGUGAAAUGCGUAGAUAUCUGGAGGAACACCGGUGGCGAAGGCGGCAUCCUGGACCAACACUGACACUGAGGCCCGAAAGCGUGGGGAUCAAACAGG
Molecule: ribosomal RNA, 253 nt
Filed under: uncultured bacterium
Lineage: Bacteria
Description: partial 16S ribosomal RNA
Rfam family: Bacterial small subunit ribosomal RNA
Source: RNAcentral